Manis pentadactyla (Chinese pangolin) is the source of this 2504-nucleotide long non-coding RNA. RefSeq lists it as uncharacterized. The transcript is spliced from 4 exons. Lineage: Eukaryota; Metazoa; Chordata; Mammalia; Pholidota; Manidae. The record is from RefSeq and is a predicted model, not a curated record.
UGUGUGAGAGAGUCACCCUCACUCCUCUAGACCCAGAAGAAAGCUUCCUGUUAAUUUCUCUUGUCCCCUACACUCACAUUCUCCCAGGAAAUCCCCCGGAAAUAGGGGCUGAACCAGGUCCCUAGACAGCUGCUUACAGGUUUUAUUAAAGGUUUCUAGGCAAUAAGGGAGCUGCAAGGCAGAGCUAGACUGGCUUGUCAGCGGCUUCAAGGCAGCCUCUGCAGGGUGACUGGAAGCAUCCAUGAGCAGGUCUGCCCCUGAAGUACCCUGUGAGAGUGAAGACACGCAGCGAUGAAAACUCUGAGACCGUCCAGAGUGCAGAACAGAGUAACAGAUGGGUUGGGAAAGCCAAGUGCAGAGAUCUUGGAAGUCAGCCCCUGGGCAAGGGCUAGCAGCAUCCCAAACCGUGAAAGUUCCAAAAACUUCAUAGCAAAAUACAAAAUGAAAACAAAUAUUCUACCUGUUGGAUCAAAGUCUGGGAAAUAAUCCGGGCAGUACUGAUGGGAUAAAACCCCAGCUGGUGUGUCAUCCCAGCACAACCAUCCAUCCCAGUGGUAGUAGCAAAGGAAGUAAGAGGUAGACUUCAUGCAAAGCCCAUGAACGGAACUGAAAUAACUGAGCUGACCAAGAGUUUUCUUGACUAGGACCUAUGACUCUUCUCUAAAAGAAGCUUGACUGGCAACAGCCUCUCCAACCAAUAUGAGUGUUGCUAAUAGGAAUGUUCCCUGUGGUGCAGCUUUGGAGCACAGAAUAAGCAGGAAGAAGGAGGAGGAAGACCCACUCGUCUCACCGUUUUCAUUUGGCCCUGCUGUCAGUGUGUCUUUUGGUCGAAGGGGUUGAAUCACUUAAGUGCAAAUUUCAGGCAAAGUAGGAAUUAAACUAGUAUACCCAGUUGACAAUAAUCCUCAAUAAGGAAUCCCCACGAAUUAAAAGAAGGCACUUGAACCAGGUGGAAGCCCCGUGUCAGCAAGGAUCAUCCUCUAUGAUUAGAGCUUCAUUCGUGAUGCCGAGAACAAGUUGCAAUAAAAAAAAAAGAGUACUAAAUUAGCAAUACGUUUAAGAUAGAAUGUCUGAUGAUCUUUCUAAUUACAUCUCUUGAGAGUGCCUUGAUAGUGAUUAGGUGUUAAAAAUAUAUUUCACAAAUGUAAUUACUAAGCUAUAAAUGGAAAUGAAUCCCGGUGGCCAGUGAAGAGUAGUCACAAUACACCCAUAAAAAUAACUCCCAAUAAACAAACAAAAGCAGAAAACACAUUCAGUGGUAUUGUAGAAAACUGCACAAAUUACCCAUUUUACUUCUUACCACUGUUUUGUUUCUUUAGAAGUUCCCGGCAGGAGGGGGGGAAAACAAAUUUUUACUUACAUUUCAUAUUUGCUUUCCCUAAUAUACACUAUCACUGUAACAUUAUUUAAAUGUAGCUAAAAACAGUUAAAAUUUGCAACAUCUGUGCUGGAAAUAAAGGUAAAGUCUGACUACAAAAUGACAUACCAUAAGGUAGUUAUAGUAUUAAAACUCAGCGAUAUCUGGUCCUCAGAGAAUGCCAGCAGGAACUCUUUAACUACAUAUUAUUUUCUCUAUUCAGCAGCAUUGUUUUCUUUCUCCUUCUAUUUGUGAAAUCUGUGAUCUGCCAUCUUGGCAGACACAUAAGAUAGGCUCUAUGUCUACCACAUCCUUAAAGUUUUAAGACAUAAGGCAGGUAAUGUUCAAAAUAUUCAAUAACUAAACUUAGGUUAUAUCUUUGAUAAAAAAUGUCAGAUUGGCAACUAUGUAAAUUACACCCACAUCACAUCUUGAAAUGGUAUUUUUUUAAAUCACAACAUUCUCAGGAAGAGACAGGUGUUAUAGGUGCUACUGUCAAAAGCAAACAAAACCCUCAACAAUAAAAAAAACCUACAUUAAAAAUGGGCAAGGACUUGAAUAUAAAUGUCUCCUAAGAAAAUACCAAUGUCCAAUAAAUGCAUGGUAGAUGCUAAGCAUCACUAAUCAUGAGGGAAAUGCAAAUCAAAACCACAAUGAGAUAGUACCUGAGUGGGAACAGGAUGAUGGCAGUUACUGUUUACUGGGUACACUCUCAGGAAGCUAUAAACAAAAUGAAAGUCCUGCCUAUAAAUAGCUGAAUGGUAGGUCUAGUGGGUAGGAUCCUUGAAAUCUUCUUAAUCAACCCUGUUUGAAAGGAAAAUUCGGUUAAGUGUAUCCCAGGCAGAGUGCAGCCCUCGUAGUGACUUAUAUGUGUGCAAUGGCCACGUGCCUAGAGCGAUGCUCGAGGUCUUUACUCUCAGCACCUAAACUACUUCUCUCAAUAACCCUAAGGGGGAAGGUUUGCAGGUGAGAAAGUGGCAGAGCUGGGAUUCAAUAACAGAUCUCUAAGAUACUACAGUCCAUGUACUUAGGAAGUAUGCAGUAAUGUCUUCCUAAUUUUAUUUUAUAUAGGUCUGGGUUGAAAAUGGAAAUUUGGACCCCUCUUUUCUGCUGUCUAGCUCAAAAGUAAAUAAACUAGGUACUGAGG